CCCAGAGUGAAAGACAGAGGAACCAAUCGAGGCUCGGCUGACCUCAGACGUCUAAGGCGAUAGGCGUUGCUAAGAAAAGGGGGUGGGACGAUACCCAGUUGCCAAGACGACGGCUUCCGGGUGGGCGGCUUGAGGUGGCUUCCGGCCGCCAGGCGAGACUCCGCGGGAAAACUCCCUGCUAGAGAGACUAGGAGAUUUGGGGCUGCGGCCGUUUCCUCCGGAGCACCCACGGGACUGUGUGCUGGGGUCCCUCCACCGGCUGUGUCCUUUAUUCUUCUUUCUCACCCAACGAUUUACCUGAACGGUUAUAAAGUGCACGUUAUUUCCCUAAGCACUUUGAGUAUAUUGGCCCACUGCAUUCUGGACUUCAAAAUUUCUGAUGCGAAAUAUGCUGAUACUUUUGUUGAAGAAAUCUGGUCCUUCUUACUGAUGUGUUGCUCUUCUUCAUGGCUCGUGAAAACUAUUAGAGUCAUCCAAGGUUUGGAGACAGAAAGGAGCACCGCCAAGUGAGGCAGAGCAGUCUCAGAAACAUAGGAAAAUGUAAGAAACUUAAGACUUGGAACAGUUUUUUGUUGUUGUUUUUUUUUUUUUUUUUUUUUUUUUUUUAAUUAGAAGAGGAACAAAGGACAUUGGGUCACAGUUUCUAAAAUAAACAUGAGCAUUAGGGCAUAUAUAAUAGCACAAUAUGAACCAAACUGAUAAAAAGCAGUGUCACAAUAUCUAUGAUAUACAUUUAUGGCUUAUAUGAAUUGAACAUUAACUUCAGUUUAAGGAUGCUUAGUCUUCAUUGUUCAUAG
Molecule: long non-coding RNA, 797 nt
Filed under: Homo sapiens (human)
Lineage: Eukaryota; Metazoa; Chordata; Mammalia; Primates; Hominidae
Description: HSALNT0233300
Source: RNAcentral